UGGAGGAAACUCUGAUGCAGCGAUGCCGCGUGAGUGAAGAAGGCCUUUGGGUUGUAAAGCUCUUUCGUCGGGGAAGAAAAUGACUGUACCCGAAUAAGAAGGUCCGGCUAACUUCGUGCCAGCAGCCGCGGUAAUACGAAGGGACCUAGCGUAGUUCGGAAUUACUGGGCUUAAAGAGUUCGUAGGUGGUUAAAAAAGUUGGUGGUGAAAUCCCAGAGCUUAACUCUGGAACUGCCAUCAAAACUUUUUAGCUAGAGUAUGAUAGAGGAAAGCAGAAUUUCUAGUGUAGAGGUGAAAUUCGUAGAUAUUAGAAAGAAUACCAAUUGCGAAGGCAGCUUUCUGGAUCAUUACUGACACUGAGGAACGAAAGCAUGGGUAGCGAAGAGGAUUAGAUACCCUCGUAGUCCAUGCCGUAAACGAUGUGUGUUAGACGUUGGAAAUUUAUUUUCAGUGUCGCAGGGAAACCGAUAAACACACCGCCUGGGGAGUACGACCGCAAGGUUAAAACUCAAAUGAAUUGACGGGGACCCGCACAAGUAGUGGAGCAUGUGGUUUAAUUCGAAGAUACGCGCAGAACCUUACCAACACUUGACAUGUUCGUCGCGACUCUAAGAGAUUAGAGUUUUCGGUUCGGCCGGACGAAACACAGGUGCUGCAUGGCUGUCGUCAGCUCGUGUCGUGAGAUGUUGGGUUAAGUCCCGCAACGAGCGCAACC
Molecule: ribosomal RNA, 715 nt
Filed under: uncultured coastal Alaskan Arctic bacterium AWS98-2a
Lineage: Bacteria; Pseudomonadati; Pseudomonadota; Alphaproteobacteria
Description: bacterial SSU rRNA
Rfam family: Bacterial small subunit ribosomal RNA
Source: RNAcentral